AGCAUCCUACACAUCAUCCCAUAUCUCAAACACAUACAAACUUCCCACCUUUCCUCUCUACUUCAAGUCCACAAAUGUCUACUUUCCAUGCUCCCACUUCUCAAAUACCUACAAAUACCCAACAACCCCACUCUACAAGGAAACCUACACAUCAUCUUACAUCUAACACACCUUCAAAUAUCCAAUUUCCACAACCUACAAGGCAACUGAAACAUCAUCCCAUAUCUCAAACAUUUACAAAUUUCCCACCUUUCCUCUCUACUCCAAGUCCACAAAUGUCUACAAUUCAUGCUCCCACCUCUCAAAUACCUACAAAUAUCCAAUCUCCCCACUCUACUCCUAGUCCACCACAUCUUUCUAAUACACAUAGACCAUAUGAUGUUGUAUCUUGUGGUGAUCCACAUGUAUCAUCAUCAUUAUGUGAUGAUUCGUAUCUGAUAGCUG
Molecule: long non-coding RNA, 444 nt
Filed under: Medicago truncatula (barrel medic)
Lineage: Eukaryota; Viridiplantae; Streptophyta; Magnoliopsida; Fabales; Fabaceae
Description: long non-coding RNA (MTRU_LNC008823)
Source: RNAcentral